This 229-nucleotide long non-coding RNA is filed under the name Mytilus galloprovincialis (Mediterranean mussel). The record is from RNAcentral. Lineage: Eukaryota; Metazoa; Mollusca; Bivalvia; Mytilida; Mytilidae.
UGAAAAAUGAAAAAUGUUGAAUUUUCAUCUUUAAUUUUUUUUUCUCAAAAAUGAAAAUGUUUUUUUUUUGUGUUGAGGAUUUUUCAAUUUGUUUAAUCAAAGUUUUGUUUUUAUGCUUUAAAUAUAAUACACAUAUGUGUAUGUGUGAACCCGUGUAUACACAUUUAUUACCUUACCCCGAAAAGAUAGGAGAACAACAACGCACCAGCAAAAUUUUGUGAUGUGGCGC